GCAUCCUGUGGCGCAAUGGGUCAGUGUGUCUGGCUAACAACCAGAAGGUUGGUGGUUCGAGCCCACCCAGGGACG
This is a non-coding RNA of Podarcis lilfordi (Lilford's wall lizard), 75 nucleotides long. Lineage: Eukaryota; Metazoa; Chordata; Lepidosauria; Squamata; Lacertidae. The record is from the annotation of a GenBank genome assembly.